Molecule: small nucleolar RNA, 65 nt
Organism: Varanus komodoensis (Komodo dragon)
Lineage: Eukaryota; Metazoa; Chordata; Lepidosauria; Squamata; Varanidae
Source: Ensembl
UUACAAUGAUGGUGACAAUGUUUGACUGGACAAUGAAGAUGUGGAAAAAUGUUACUGCUGAAGAU